AUACGGAGGGUGCAAGCGUUAUUCGGAAUCACUGGGCGUAAAGGACGCGUAGGCGGGAAGCCAAGUCUGAUGUGAAAUCCUAUGGCUUGACCAUAGAACUGCAUUGGAAACUGGUUACCUAGAGUAUGGGAGGGGGAGAUGGAAUUAGUGGUGUAGGGGUAAAAUCCGUAGAUAUCACUAGGAAUACCGAAAGCGAAGGCGAUCUCCUGGAACAAUACUGACGCUAAGGCGUGAAAGCGUGGGGAGCAAACGGGAUUAGAAACCCUAGUAGUCC
RNAcentral lists this ribosomal RNA (274 nucleotides) under uncultured bacterium. Its description in RNAcentral is "partial 16S ribosomal RNA". It matches the Rfam family "Bacterial small subunit ribosomal RNA", at positions 523 to 796 of the family's 1533-position model. The record is from RNAcentral.